AUUGAACGCUGGCGGCAUGCCUUACACAUGCAAGUCGAACGGUAACAGGUCUUCGGAUGCUGACGAGUGGCGAACGGGUGAGUAAUACAUCGGAACGUGCCCAGACGUGGGGGAUAACGAGGCGAAAGCUUUGCUAAUACCGCAUACGAUCUAAGGAUGAAAGCAGGGGACCGCAAGGCCUUGCGCGUUUGGAGCGGCCGAUGGCAGAUUAGGUAGUUGGUGGGAUAAAAGCUUACCAAGCCGACGAUCUGUAGCUGGUCUGAGAGGACGACCAGCCACACUGGGACUGAGACACGGCCCAGACUCCUAAGGGAGGCAGCAGUGGGGAAUUGUGGACAAUGGGCGAAAGCCUGAUCCAGCAAUGCCGCGUGCAGGAUGAAGGCCUUCGGGUUGUAAACUGCUUUUGUACGGAACGAAAAGGCUCUGGCUAAUACCUGGGGCACAUGACGGUACCGUAAGAAUAAGCACCGGCUAACUACGUG
RNAcentral lists this ribosomal RNA (482 nucleotides) under uncultured bacterium. Its description in RNAcentral is "partial 16S ribosomal RNA". It matches the Rfam family "Bacterial small subunit ribosomal RNA", at positions 30 to 507 of the family's 1533-position model. The record is from RNAcentral.